RNAcentral lists this ribosomal RNA (200 nucleotides) under uncultured bacterium. RNAcentral describes it as "partial 16S ribosomal RNA". It matches the Rfam family "Bacterial small subunit ribosomal RNA", at positions 524 to 723 of the family's 1533-position model. The record is from RNAcentral.
UACGGAGGAUCCAAGCGUUAUCCGGAAUCAUUGGGUUUAAAGGGUCCGUAGGCGGUUUUAUAAGUCAGUGGUGAAAUCCGGCAGCUCAACUGUCGAACUGCCAUUGAUACUGUAGAACUUGAAUUAUUGUGAAGUAACUAGAAUAUGUAGUGUAGCGGUGAAAUGCUUAGAGAUUACAUGGAAUACCAAUUGCGAAGGCA